This 300-nucleotide ribosomal RNA is filed under the name uncultured Alteromonadaceae bacterium. RNAcentral describes it as "bacterial SSU rRNA". It matches the Rfam family "Bacterial small subunit ribosomal RNA", at positions 113 to 416 of the family's 1533-position model. Lineage: Bacteria; Pseudomonadati; Pseudomonadota; Gammaproteobacteria; Alteromonadales; Alteromonadaceae. The record is from RNAcentral.
ACGCGUGGGAAUCUACCCAGUAGGCGGGGGACAACAGUUGGAAACGACUGCUAAUACCGCAUACGCCCUACGGGGGAAAGCAGGGAUCUUCGGACCUUGUGCUAUUGGAUGAGCCCGCGUGAGAUUAGUUUGUUGGUGAGGUAAUGGCUCACCAAGACUACGAUCUCUAGCUGGUCUGAGAGGAUGAUCAGCCACACUGGAACUGAGACACGGUCCAGACUCCUACGGGAGCCAGCAGUGGGGAAUAUUGCACAAUGGGCGCAAGCCUGAUGCAGCCAUGCCGCGUGUGUGAAGAAGGCC